UACGGGGGGAGCAAGGGUUGUUCGGAUUUACUGGGCGUAAAGGGCGCGUAGGCGGCCACCGCAAGUCGACUGUGAAAUCUCCGGGCUUAACCCGGAAAGGUCAGCCGAUACUGCGGGGCUAGAGUGCAGAAGGGGCAACUGGAAUUCUCGGUGUAGCGGUGAAAUGCGUAGAUAUCGAGAGGAACACCUGCGGCGAAGGCGGGUCUCUGGGCCGUAACUGACGCUGAGGAGCGAAAGCGUGGGGAGCGAACAGG
RNAcentral lists this ribosomal RNA (254 nucleotides) under uncultured bacterium. Its description in RNAcentral is "partial 16S ribosomal RNA". It matches the Rfam family "Bacterial small subunit ribosomal RNA", at positions 524 to 776 of the family's 1533-position model. The record is from RNAcentral.